RNAcentral lists this long non-coding RNA (2363 nucleotides) under Malus domestica (apple). Its description in RNAcentral is "long non-coding RNA (MDOM_LNC010763)". The record is from RNAcentral. Lineage: Eukaryota; Viridiplantae; Streptophyta; Magnoliopsida; Rosales; Rosaceae.
UGAUUCAAUAAAUUGUUUAUUAAAUAUUAUUUUCUCUAUUUUUAAACACAUUCAAAACAUCUUAAGGUGGGUAAUGCCGAUUAUAAAAAUAGUCUUUCACACGCGGAAAAUAUGUACUUAUAUUAGUUGUCAAAUGAUUUUUUUUUUUCGAACAAAAGAUAUUAUCUACACUAAGGGGGAGGGGGUGGGCUUAGCCUCACAAUAGGCUAGCAAUAAUAUGAUUCAAUCAGUUGUUUAUUAAAUAUUAUUUUCUCUAUUGUUAAUAUAAAUUCAAUAGAGACUGAUUUUAUUAUGUGGAUUCAACUACUUUAAUUGGUUUAUGAGGGGUUUUUUCUAGUAUGAUCUAAGAGUAUUCAUCUACCCAAAAUAUUUGACUUUUCUUUUGUCAAUUUACGCAUAUAAAUACAUUAAAAAUGUGUAAGCCGCGCGUAGCAUGCCGUAAUAUUACGUAGCUGUCACUUUUUCCAUUGAAAAAUAUAAUUUUGAGGAGAAGUUUUUGCUCAAACUUGGAAUUUUAUGAAAAGAGCUUCCUUUUUCUAGAUCCAUCCCCACAACAACGGUAGACAAAGACGCUAUGGAAAAAUUUACAAGUCAGUCAACAAAGAUUUUUUGAAAUACACGAUUGUAAUUUUGAUUCACCAACGCAACAAAGUGAAGUUAGUAUCUUUGAUUCACCAAGCCAUGAGAGGGAAAGCUUUGAAUUCGCCACCCAAUUGUUAUCAUUUUAAUUAACGUGGUAUUAUUAAUUGGUAUCAUUGAUUAUUUUUUGUGGGAUUAUUGAUUGAUACUAUUUUUUUUUUAGUCAAACGAUAGAUUUUGUUAGAUUAACUAAUGACGAAGUUUGAACCCACGUCGUCAUGUAAGAGUUCAAUAUCUUUCCACCAUUAUAGUAAAGGUCACUUGCAAUUUAUACGUUGAUUAUUUGUUUUACAUGCACCCAAUAAUUCUUUCAAAUAAUGUUUUUGUAACUCAAAAUCCCAUUUUGCCCUUCGGCAAUUUUCUUUCUUGACCCAACACCCAAACAGCCAUCAAAUCAACCCAACCAACCGCCGACGACCACCUAUUCCAACCAACACUAUCUUCUUUCUUUCCUUUGUACGGAAAUGGUUUGGUUUGAGGUCAGAAAUGUUAUGUCUAUCCCUAUAAUCACAUAAAUUAAUUAUAUUCAUAACUGCAAAUUAAUCAUCGGAUAUUAUCAAUAAUCAUACUCAUCAGGUAACGGAUUUCUCAUCAGUUAACGCUUAUAUCCAUCUUCAUUGCUACAAAAAAAAUUAAAAAAAAAUUGAUCAAUUGAUACAUUAUAAUUUAGUAAAUAUUAAUUCAGUAAUAAAAUAUUUGAUGUAUAAUAAAAUGAUUUUUGAUCAUGUGGAAUAUAAAAAUUAAAGCUAAACAUUGAUGAUGUCGGCUGAUCUUUGAUAUCUCUUAUAAGUACCAUUGAAUUGUUAUUGAUCUUGAUUCAAAACUUUUGAACUUUUCAACAAAAUGCAACUCACAUAAAAAAUAAAAUAAAUAAUAAAAAAAACAAUGAUCGAAAAAACAUAUUUGGAAGAAGAGAAAAUAUAGUUUAAUUACUAAUAUCUCCACUAAAUAAGGAAAAGUGCAUAAUGCAGAUAAAACGAUAAAUUCAAAAUUUAUUUUAAUUUUAAAAAAUAAAGGUGACUAUUGGUCAAAGCAUUUUAAUCAAAUUUUUAAAAGACACAAAUGUUUAAUCUAAAUGAUAUAGAAAAACUGUAGAAGAUUCUAAGGACAUGUUUACUACUUUACUUGAAUCCAACUUUUUAAACUCAAAAAUAAUUUUCAAGUUUUAGGCCUUAAAAAAUUGUUUGGUAGGCCUUAAAAAAUCAUUUUAGAUUUCUUUGUCUAGUUUAAGUUGUAAGGUUUAAAAUUUUUAAAUCGCAAAUCAAUCAAUUUUUUGAGUCUUAAAGAAAAUUAUUUUUAAAAAAAUAUUUUGAGAAAUGAUAAAAAAAUUUAAAUAGAAAAUUUUCCCUUUUCAAAAAUAGACUAUUCUUAAUAAUAAUAGCUCAUAAAAUUAAAUUUGUCCUCAAAUUUGAUAUGGCAUUUGUGUCAGACAAUGACAGGUGAUGUGUGAUUUCAAAAUUCACAUACUACGUGUUUUUGUGGUUGUUGGAAUUUUAAAAGUAUACUGAAAAUGAUUGAAGCACCAUUCCAACUGCCACUACAAAGCGAGGGCGAUCAACAGAAGAAAUCUAAAUUUUCUUUUUAGUCAACUAACCUUACAGUGGCACCUUGACUCUUCUACCAAUUACUUUUUUAUUUUCUCAACCAACAAAUAUCAAGGCAUCAUGGCAUGCAUAAUGCAACUUUUGUAUUUUCAAGACAAUAAAUUCGGUGAAUAAUGAAUA